This 305-nucleotide ribosomal RNA is filed under the name uncultured bacterium. RNAcentral describes it as "bacterial SSU rRNA". It matches the Rfam family "Bacterial small subunit ribosomal RNA", at positions 336 to 638 of the family's 1533-position model. The record is from RNAcentral.
UUCCUACGGGGGGCAGCAGUGAGGAAUAUUGGUCAAUGGGCGGGAGCCUGAACCAGCCAAGCCGCGUGAAGGAAGAAGGCGCCAGGCGUCGUAAACUUCUUUUGUCGGGGAACAAAGGGCGCCACGCGUGGCGUUGUGAGUGUACCCGAAGAAAAAGCAUCGGCUAACUCCGUGCCAGCAGCCGCGGUAAUACGGAGGAUGCGAGCGUUAUCCGGAUUUAUUGGGUUUAAAGGGAGCGUAGAUGGGUUGUUAAGUCAGUUGUGAAAGUUUGCGGCUCAACCGUAAAAUUGCAAUUGAUACUGGCG